GUUGUAGUUCAGUGGUAGAGCGCUUGCCUAGCAUGUGUGAGGCACUGGGUUCCAUCCUCAGCACAACA
RNAcentral lists this transfer RNA (68 nucleotides) under Marmota monax (woodchuck). RNAcentral's name for it is "tRNA.Ala". The record is from RNAcentral. Lineage: Eukaryota; Metazoa; Chordata; Mammalia; Rodentia; Sciuridae.